RNAcentral lists this ribosomal RNA (253 nucleotides) under uncultured bacterium. RNAcentral describes it as "partial 16S ribosomal RNA". It matches the Rfam family "Bacterial small subunit ribosomal RNA", at positions 524 to 776 of the family's 1533-position model. The record is from RNAcentral.
UACGUAGGGUCCGAGCGUUGUCCGGAGUUACUGGGCGUAAAGCGCGCGCAGGCGGCGGUGUUGGCCCGGCGUGAAAGCCCCCGGCUCAACCGGGGAGAGUCGUCGGGGACCGCACCGCUUGAGGGCGGUAGGGGCUGGUGGAAUGCCUGGUGUAGUGGUGAAAUGCGCAGAUAUCAGGAGGAACACCAAUGGCGAAGGCAGCUCGCUGGGACGGUACUGACGCUGAGACGCGAAAGCGUGGGGAGCAAACAGG